UUUCUAUCUUUAAAACCAAUUCCACAAAUCAUAUUGCAGACCAAGGCAGGCUACCAUCCAAUCAUGCAGUGACAGGUCUCGGGUUCUAUGGGGUCUAUAGUUUCUUAAACUUCUGUUUAUUUUAAGAAAUCAGCUUGGAGAAACAAUGGCUUGGGAUGCGGUUUGCUCGAAAUGAAAGUUUCUGAGUACGAGGCCAUGGAAAAAUUAUUGGAGCACUUUGCCACUUUCUGCCGUUCAUUUCCCUUCUUUCGGCUACCAGCCUAUGACAAUGGCAUCAAUCAUUAGACGAGAAGUAAAGUUUUGCGAGGUUAAAACAAGAGUGACAUUGUGAAGGGAGUAAAUAAGGA
Molecule: long non-coding RNA, 347 nt
Filed under: Theobroma cacao (cacao)
Lineage: Eukaryota; Viridiplantae; Streptophyta; Magnoliopsida; Malvales; Malvaceae
Description: long non-coding RNA (TCAC_LNC004694)
Source: RNAcentral